CUUCAACGAGCCCAGCCACAGCGGCUGUUCGCGCUCCUGUCCGUACGUGGCGAGGAGUGCCUGCGCCUC
RNAcentral lists this antisense RNA (69 nucleotides) under Streptomyces sp. DI166. Its description in RNAcentral is "ASpks TB sRNA". It matches the Rfam family "ASpks TB sRNA". The record is from Rfam by way of RNAcentral. Lineage: Bacteria; Bacillati; Actinomycetota; Actinomycetes; Kitasatosporales; Streptomycetaceae.